This 497-nucleotide ribosomal RNA is filed under the name uncultured bacterium. RNAcentral describes it as "partial 16S ribosomal RNA". It matches the Rfam family "Bacterial small subunit ribosomal RNA", at positions 28 to 507 of the family's 1533-position model. The record is from RNAcentral.
GAUGAACGCUGGCGGCGUGCCUAAUACAUGCAAGUCGAGCGAACAGACGAGGAGCUUGCUCCUCUGACGUUAGCGGCGGACGGGUGAGUAACACGUGGAUAACCUACCUAUAAGACUGGGAUAACUUCGGGAAACCGGAGCUAAUACCGGAUAAUAUAUUGAACCGCAUGGUUCAAUAGUGAAAGACGGUUUUGCUGUCACUUAUAGAUGGAUCCGCGCCGCAUUAGCUAGUUGGUAAGGUAACGGCUUACCAAGGCAACGAUGCGUAGCCGACCUGAGAGGGUGAUCGGCCACACUGGAACUGAGACACGGUCCAGACUCCUACGGGAGGCAGCAGUAGGGAAUCUUCCGCAAUGGGCGAAAGCCUGACGGAGCAACGCCGCGUGAGUGAUGAAGGUCUGCGGAUCGUAAAACUCUGUUAUUAGGGAAGAACAAAUGUGUAAGUAACUAUGCACGUCUUGACGGUACCUAAUCAGAAAGCCACGGCUAACUACGUG